AAUGCUCAAGCUUUAUACUAGUGAUAAGUGUGUUUUUAUACACAUAUUUAGGUCACAAACAUGACUUAAUUACGAGCAAAAUGGUUGAGUUGUAGCUUAAUUUCAUUUAAAUUGUGAAUUGUAGGAAACAUUGAUGGAUAUGGUGAAAUUUGGGAGAAAAAACGCGAAAAAGGACUAAAAUGAAGCAAAGUGAAAGUUCAAGGACUAAGUAGCAAAUCAUUCGAAGAUGAGGCGGGCUAUGGAAUGAAGACUCAAGAGUGUUAGAGGUCAACUGGAUGAGGAAAGGAGUCAAAAAAGUGAAAUAUAGCCGAAAUAUUAUCACGUUUCAACUUUCAGGCAAAAAAACUAUGCUUGGGAUUUUUAGUGUCUAAUUGAGACCCAUUUUUGGCAUAGUAAACAUUCGAAUUUGAGAAAGACUAUUUCUAUAAAAACUGUAUAUCUUUGAGUUACCUUCCCAACGCACUUUGAAUCACCUCAAUCGAAGGUCAGAAGAGAAAGUUAUGACUAAAAUAUUGAAAGCUGCCGGACGGAAAAAUUUAUAUAACCAUGCGGUCGCAUUGUUAUAAUUCCUUGCGGUCACACAAGGCAAUGCAGGGAAAACUAUGUGGUGAAACUUCUAAACCAUGUGGUCGCAUGGUAUAAAAAUGUGACGGAAUCUCAAGUUUCCUAAUUCGACUCAAACACGAUUUGGUAAGGUUUUGGGCCACUUUCUUGACCUAAUUCCAUCCCGAAUAAAUACCAGACGACCUGAAACAUAAGUAGAACGCACUGGGAAGCAUUAUACAGUAUUUUGGAGGAUUUGGAGAGGAAGAACAAUGCGAAAAUAAGGCGAUCCACUUCUAGAUUCAAGAUUCCACAUCCAGAAUCAAUUGGGUGAUGUUCUUCCUUGGUUUUAAUCGUUGUUUUUCUUUAUCUCCUAUUAUGUUAGGUUAGAUUUUUAUGUACUAGAAGAUCUAUGUACCAUGUGAUUUGAUUUUUAAUUUUCUAGUUUUACAAUUUGACAUUAAAAACACGUUUUGAUUGUUUUGAAUGAUUUAUAUGCGAUUAUUAUUUUCCACAAUUAAGGGCCCAUAAUUGUGUGAGUUUGGGUGACUUAUUCUUGCAUUCGAGAGAAUUGGAAUAGGUUCGACAUAAUAUAAAUCAUCGUAGAGUCCGAUAGAGGAUAAAAAUAUACCGCUAUUCCUUACGUGAAUCUUUAAGUGUUCGCAAAACCGUAUGCAUUUUUAUGUAUGCACUUGUUGUAGAAAUAUAGACUAGUGGUAUGUAAAACUAGGUUCAAUACAUCUCGACAGAGAGUAUUGGAUAGAUUUAGGAGCAAUGAUUCGUCAACAAUUUAAUCGUGUUGUAAUACUAUGAAACUAGGGUUUAAAAUGAUAAUUGUAUGAAAAAUCGUGAUCCUAGUGAGCUUGAUUUUCAUUGAAUGCAACAAACAUGCUUUCUCAACCUUUGAUUUCAUUCUACAGUGUUAAAAUUUUGUCUUGCAUAUAAAAUUCAUUUCAAUCAUAAAAAUUGCAUAAAUUAGGGUUUUCUUUCCAAUUUUAGUGUUUUAAUUAGGUCCACAUUCAUUUUAGUAAUUUAGUUCGGUUAAGACUACAAUAGAUAAAAUUGAACUAAUCAAUCUCUGUGGGACGAUAUUCGGACUCAAUUGAUCCAACACUUACGGUAGUUUAAAUCGAAAGAAAUAUUUCGUGAACAACUAGUAAAUUCAUAUGUGAGAUAAACUUGAUAAUGGUUGGUUGGUUGGGAUAUUUUGGUGUAGGCAGGGGUUAACAAGGUAGCACAGCUAAUUGGUGCGACUUUGGCUCCAAAGGGAAGGAAUGUCGUAUUGCAAAACAAGAAUGGACCUCCCAAGAUUGUCAAUGAUGGUGAAAUUGUUCUUAAAGAGGUGCCAGCAUACUUCUUAUCUUAUCUAAUGUUUACAUCUGCGUAGUGGUAGAAUGUGCCUAUUAAGAUUGGAUGUUGAAGUACACUAAAUUAUGUAAAAGAUACAAAGAGGGAUGGCCUUUCAACCUAGUGGUGAGAGAGAUUGAUUCCCAACUAAGAUAAUGCGUUUCUUGAUGAAAAGAUCUUUUUAUAUGGAAUUUUAUCUUUAAAGGACUUGUGAUUUGGGUUUUCUUGCUAAAUAAUCUGUCGAUACGCAUGUUUAUCGGGAUCUUAGUCCUAAGUAAUUGUAGAAGUUGGGGGUUUGUCUUCUUGUUUGAGGGAUGUCUGUUAAGGACAAGUUUUGAAGUUUUUUAGUUGGGACAUAAACCAAAUAAAAAUUAAAGUAAAAAUAUAUAUUCUCAGAAGUUUGUAACAAGUGUCUUCUUAAUGAUUAUACUACAGAUUUUUGUAGUCUGUCUAUAUUCUCCCAUUCCCAUUAUGUAGUUCAUAAUAAAGGGACAACUCCUACUGGGACGAAGACUGAAGUUCAUACAGCUACCUGAAAAUCUCCAUUGGCUUUUAGAUUGUUUCGUCAUUAUAUUAUGGUUUAUCCACGUAUUUCUAGCUGUGAAAUAAAACUACGUUAGAUACAAUUUUAGCAUGAUUUCCCAGAGUCUGAGGAGAAAAAAUAACUUCAAUGGUUCUGAAAAGGUACAGUGCCUUUUCUUUCAGAAAUUGAAGGAUAAAAAUUAUUCUGUUCUGGCUCUUAUAUUAUCUGUACUGAUUUGUUGCAUGCACACAUAGUUAUUCAAAAUGAUAUUUAUUUUUAUUUUUUGCUUUGUAGGUUUAAAUUGACUGUCAUCAUGAUGUAUAAAAUGUUGGCUCCAUUUGGCCUUCUAUGCUAAUUUUUUUGAAUCAAGAACGAAAAAUAUUUCACUUCUGUGUUAAUGAUGUACAAAAACAUUAUGAUCCUAUCUGAUACCAAAACAUCUCGACACAGGGCUUAUCCUGGCAAGAAGUAUCAGAGAAAAGUUCUAAAGAGAAUCUCCAAGGCUGAGAGAGAGAAAUCAAAGUGCGAACAUCUGAAUGAAAUCUUUCUUUCUUUAUCUAAUGAUUUAGGUAUUUUCCAGAUGCUCAAAUGAUUCUACUUCAUAUAUAACAUUUUUGCCUUUUAACAAAAUUUCCAUCAAGUUAUGGCUCCAUUAACUGUACGAUAGUUUCAGGACAUGAAAUCUGACAUCAAAACAUGGUGCCUUAAAUGAGAUCAUUUUUACAUAAUUAUCUAUGCAGAUUCAAUGGUAAGGCCUCUGUAUUGGAUGGAGCGAUUUGUAUGGUGAAGAACACGCUAGAUGAGAUCAACUGUCUGAAAAGAAAAUGCUGCUUGCUGUCUGAAUCUCAAUAUGUAAGUCCACUGACAUCAAGUUUUCACAUUCUGUGUCGAUAACUUUUUAUGGCAUGCAGUGUAACAACUGAACCUAAGUUAAUUAAUGUUUUCUGAUAAUAACUUUUAAGUCAAUUCAUAAUGUGGCAAUUGAGACUUGAGAGUUCUAUAAUCCACUCUCGGAAUAUGCCCUGGUUAUGCUGGGGGCCUUUAGAAGAUGGAAAAAAUGUGUAUGUUUGUAAAAUAAAAAAAAAAAAAAAAAAUGCAAAAAUGUGACUUAAAAAAAAAUAAAUAAAUAAAAAGAAGAAGAAGGAAUUUGAGCAUAGUUGAUCAAAUCUUUGAGAUUUUUAAAAUUUCAAAUUCCUAUGAUUUUCCAAUCACUAAACUAAUUCUGAUCUUGUAAAUAAAUUUUGAUUCCCAAUGUGUUUUGCGACAUUAUUUUAGAUCUACUACAAUAGCCAGGUUCUUUUAUCUGUUCGCUGGAACUCUAAAUUUAGCACAAGCUAACUUUAUUUAUUGACAGGUGAGCAUGGAGAAAACGUAACUACAAGAUGAGAAUUCGGCUCUAGAGGCUCAAAUUGGGAAACUGCAAUGUGAACUCAAGGAGAGGGUCUGGUCCGCAACUCGACCUGAAUGUGAACUUCAAGAACUGGAAUCGCAUAUUGGUGAUGAUCAUCAUCAUAGAUUGCCUUGUGUAGAACCAGUUGUUAAUUCUUUUGUAUCUUGUCCCUAUCCGCUAAAAUACUCGAGCUUAUCAAGAGCCUGCUACGGCAGAACUUGCAGGUAUGCCUAACCACAUCCUAGAUAUCCUACUGCAGCAGACGUAUGGCCAUCCGAUUUCUUGAGGAACCCUGCUAUGGUGACAGGUCGGUGCCUGAUCCCUCACAAGGGGGUCGGGCCCCACAAUUUUUGGGAAUAUUUUUUUCGCACCGGGCCCAUGCUAUAGUGAGGGGUCGGGCACCAUUCGGUCACCAACCCCCCUGGCCAUCCGGAAUUACCCUUUCUUGAAAAUCAACUGAAGUUAGGCGUGGAAUUUGGAUAAAAGUGGAUGUAGAGGACAGCAGGAGGAAGGCUUUUGACAAUGGAAACUAUAUCAAUUUUUGUUUUUUUUUUUUUUGGAAAAUGUAUUGGAUUUUUAGGCAUUUUAGAAUUUUGGAUUUGGAUUUUGUAAGGAUAUUGUUACAUUUUAGAGUUCAAUUAAUAAUGAUUAUUGGAG
This 4460-nucleotide long non-coding RNA is filed under the name Olea europaea subsp. europaea. Lineage: Eukaryota; Viridiplantae; Streptophyta; Magnoliopsida; Lamiales; Oleaceae. The record is from RNAcentral.